RNAcentral lists this ribosomal RNA (233 nucleotides) under uncultured bacterium. RNAcentral describes it as "partial 16S ribosomal RNA". It matches the Rfam family "Bacterial small subunit ribosomal RNA", at positions 118 to 350 of the family's 1533-position model. The record is from RNAcentral.
UGGGCAACCUGCCCCUCUCUCUGGGAUAACCCCGGGAAACCGGAGCUAAUACCGGAUACUCCGGCUGGAUCGCAUGGUCCGGCCGGGAAAGGUCCGCCGGAGAGGGAUGGGCCCGCGGCCUAUCAGCUUGUUGGUGAGGUAACGGCCCACCAAGGCGACGACGGGUAGCUGGUCUGAGAGGACGACCAGCCACACUGGAACUGAGAUACGGUCCAGACUCCGUACGGGAGGCA